Molecule: long non-coding RNA, 2683 nt
Organism: Equus caballus (horse)
Lineage: Eukaryota; Metazoa; Chordata; Mammalia; Perissodactyla; Equidae
Source: Ensembl
UCCCCGUGGCGAGGGAUUUGGACUGAAGCCUGCAGCUGCUUAGCACAGAUGCUGACGAGGCCUCACCUAGGCUUUCCUGCCCACCUGCAGCCGUCAGCUUCCCUCUAACUCUGCAGAUUGACUGCACGCCUUUUUCUCCACUGCCCCUCCAAACCCACUAAGAUAGCCAUAAGGGAAUAAAGUAAGAGGAAGCAACUGGGAGAGCAAAUGCAAAAAAUGUCAACAAAAUUUUGAAAGAUGUAAGGUGUUUGAACAAAGGGCAUCUAAUUUAGUUUUAGCUUUAGCCAUUCUGCUAAGCGUCUACACCUGAAGAAGCCAACAAAACGUAAAUUGAAUCCACCAUGGGUCCUCAAAAGGCAGAGGAUCUGGAAGCACCAGACAUCUCUGAAUCCAGGGGUCAGGAUGGGGCUGAGAAGAAGAGGAUUCACUCGUAAGUCUGUAUAAGAAGGAUCUAGACCCCCAGAUUUUCUCCCUUGCCCCACACAGCCAGGCGCCAUAGCUCCUCUACCAUCCAGCAGAUGACACAUUUGCUAUCUAAAGAGGGUGAACCAGAGAGAUUCUGACCCAGGGGACAUGAAGCAUGGCAGAAGGCAGAAGACAAAGACAUCCUGAAAAGAGUAAGGCUCCCAGAAGUCACAUAUGACAGGCCCCCGCUCCCCACCCGACCCGCUGAGACAAUGCCCCACCACACUGCCUUCUCUGCAGGGCGACCGCAAUGCAGACUCGAGGCAACCGUCAUUCCAAGGACUGCCAUGUGAGUGGUGCUUCCUGAAGCUGUGCACUGAGGUGGCCCUGGAGGAACCGGCUAGCUCCUGCCCACCCUCUUCCCAUCUCAGCCCUUGCAGCUCUGUUUCUAGCAGGAGGAAGAGGAGUGAAAUCAUUCAUGCCAGCUGUGAUUCCGACUUACAUCUCACUGAGCAGGACUGUGUCAUGUGACUGCAUCUGCCAACAAGCGGGGAAACUCUAGACGUCAGAAGUGAGGUGAUCACUGUUUGUGUUGGCCCUGUUGGCAGCAGCAGAACUUUGCAAAUGGUUAAUGAUGGUGGUUGGAUAUGAUGUCAUCAGACGUUUCCAAAAGAAAAGCAGUUCGGCCCUGUAAUGGCUCUUUUUUGUUGUUGUUUCACACAAUUCAUGGAAUCCAUGUAAAGUUUUUGGAGGUUCAUUUUACUAAAGGAAAAAUGUAAAUACGAUUUUUGGAGGAGCACUUCACCAUGCAAAAAAUAAUACCCUUACCCUUAAUAUUGUUAAGAAGCCAAAUGGUCUUGGCAAUGACUUCUUGGAUAUGACACCAAAAGCACAGGCAACAGAAGCAAAAACAGACAAGUGGGACCACAGUAAAUUAAAAGGUUCUGCACAGCAAAGAAAACAACCCAUAGAGAGAAAAGGCAACCUACAGAAUGGGGUAAAAUAUUUGUAAACCAAAUAUCUGAUAAGGGAUUAAUAUCCAAAGUUAUAAGGAACUGUUACAACUCAAAAGUAAAAAAGCAAGUAACCCAAUUAAAAAAUGGGCAAAGGACUUGAAUAGACAUUUCUCCAAAGAAGACGUACAAAUGGCCAACAGGUCUAUAAAAAGAUGCUCAACAUUGCUAAUCAUCAGGGAAAUGCAAAUCAAAACCACAAUGAGAUAUCACCUCACACCUGUUGGAAUGGCCAUUAUAAAACAAACGAACAGAAACUAACCGGCGUUGCAAGAAUAUAGAGGAAGUGGAAGCCUUAUGCACCAUUAGUGGAAAUGUAAGAUGGUGCAGACACUAUGGAAACAGCAUGGAGGGUCUUCAAAAAGUUAAAAAUAGAACUGCCACAUAAUCCAGCAAUCCUACCUCUGGGUGUUUAUCCACAAGGAUUAAAAAUGGGAUCUCGAAGAGAUAUUUGCAUUCCCACAUUCAUUAAAGCAUUAUUCACAAUAUCCAAGAGGUGGAAAAAACUCAAAUGUUCAUUCACAGAUGAAUGGAUAAAUAAAAUGUAGUAUACAUACGUAACAGAAUGUUAUUCAGCCUUGAAAAAAGAAGGAAAUCCUGCCACAUGUGACAACAUGGAUGAACUUCGAGGACAUUAUGCUAAAUGAAAUAAGCCAGUCACAGAAGGGCGAAUACUCUAUGAUUCUACUCGUAUGAAGUAUCUAAAGGAGGCAACCUCACAGAAGAAGGAAAUACAAUAGUGGUGACUAGGGGCUGGGGGCGGGGUGAAGAGUAGUUAUUCAAUGGGUGUAAUGUUUCAGUCAUGCAACAGCAAGUUCUAGAGGUCUGCUGUACGACAACAUUCAUGCAGUUCAUAGUACAGUACAGUUAAAAAUUUCUUAAGAGGAUAGAUUUCAUGUUUGGUUUUUUUUUACCAAAAUUUUAUGAAAAGAAGCCGAGUGGACAAAAACAUAUUUGAAAUUGUUCGUGGCAUACACAUAAUUUUUUUUCCUUUUUCUCCCCAAAGCCCCCCAGUACAUAGUUGUAUAUUCUUUGUUGUGGGUCCUUCUAGUUGCAGCAUGUGGGACGCUGUCUCAGAGUGGCUUGAUGAGCAGUGCCAUGUCUGCGCCCAGGAUUCGAACCAACAAAACACUGGGCCGCCUACAGCAGAGCGCACGAACUUAACCGCUCGGCCACGGGGUCAGCCCCAUACACAUAAUUUUUAAUUUCAUCCAAUCAAGUUGUGAUAGUCUUCAAUUCAACAGAAGAGGUUGUUGACAUAAUUU